This 656-nucleotide ribosomal RNA is filed under the name Tegula rugata. RNAcentral's name for it is "partial 12S ribosomal RNA". Lineage: Eukaryota; Metazoa; Mollusca; Gastropoda; Trochida; Tegulidae. The record is from RNAcentral.
GACAAACAGAUUAAGCUAAAAUUAGCAUAGUAAAAAAGAAGGUUAGAGAAAUUUACUGCGAAGAAAUUCCAGUGUUAGAAAAGAGAAAUGAUGUCUUUUGUGGAGGUGGAAUUUGUGCAAAAGAAGGUGAUUUGUUGUUUUCUUGUUCUUGAGGCCUUGAAAUCUCAUUAAGAAACCGGGAUUAGAUACCCCGUUAUUUGAGAUGUAAAAUUUGAUUAUUAGAUAAUUUACUUGAGUAUUACGAGUUGUGAAAUAUCGGUUUACACAAAGAUCUUAAAACUCAAAAGACUUGGCGGUAUCUUAGGUCCUUCUAGGGGAACCUGUCCUGUAAUCGAUAGUCCACGAUUUAUCUUUCCUUUCCUUGAAAAUACUCAGCUUGUAUACCGUCGUCGUCAGAUUACCUUUAAGAGUUAAAUAAGUUAUCAGAAAGAAUAUUAUUUUUAGUAUUUGUCUUAACUUAAUCAGUUGGGGUUGAAUGUAAAAAAUAAUUUUCUAGAUGUCAGAUCAAGGUGCAGCCUAUGGAAAGGUAGAGAUGGGUUACAAUAAUUAUUUAUUAUUUACGGAUUUCUUAUUGAAAUUAUAAGAACUAAAGGCGGACUUAGAAGUAAUUAAUAAGAGAAAUAGAAAGUUUCGGUGAAAAUGGCACUAAGAUGUGC